GGGGGCGCAAUGGUUUCGACGGGGAUUCGGAACUGUGGUAAGCGAGCAGCGGUGGGGCACCGCUUAAAAAGCUCCACUUAUAAAUCAAACAACAACAAUUCCUACGCAUACGCUGCCUAAUUAGGCGGCCGUCCGACCGGUGAGUACCGCGGCAUCGAUUCGGGCGUGAUGAAGCGGUGAACGUGAGCAGGGAAUCGGCUCGGUCCCUGCCAUGCAUCAGAGUCUACCGCAGCGCGCAGCCUGUCAUUGGGCGUCGCGUGAGGGGAAUCCUAAAACAAUGACUGCGCUCGGAGAAAGCUGCACGGAUGGAUUUUCGGACAGGGGUUCGAUCCCCCUCGCCUCCACCA
This 347-nucleotide transfer-messenger RNA is filed under the name Oscillospiraceae bacterium. It matches the Rfam family "transfer-messenger RNA". Rfam says of the family: Bacterial tmRNA, also known as 10Sa RNA or SsrA, is named for its dual tRNA and mRNA-like properties. Its role is to liberate the mRNA from a stalled ribosome. To accomplish this part of the tmRNA is used as a reading frame that ends in a translation stop signal. The record is from RNAcentral. RNAcentral also lists the same sequence under 1 other name. Lineage: Bacteria; Bacillati; Bacillota; Clostridia; Eubacteriales; Oscillospiraceae.